GGCAAACUGGGACAUCCAUUAUGGUUAAUGUAGGAAGAGGGAUGAGGUGACAAACUGGGACAUCCAUUAUGGUUAAUGUAGGAAGAGGGAUGAGGUGGCAGACUGGGACAUCCAUUAUGGUUAAUGUAGGAAGAGGGAUGAGGUGGCAAACUGGGACAUCCAUUAUGGUUAAUGUAGGAAGAGGGAUGAGGUGGCAAACGGGGACAUCCAUUAUGGUUAAUGUAGGAAGAGGGAUGAGGUGGAAAACUGGGACAGGAAGUGGUCAUUUCCUGUUUAGUGAAUAAUUCCAUUUGAGGAAAAGGUGGAUAAACCAGUUAGUUAGUUAGUUAGUUAGUUAGUUCAUUCGUUCAUUUACCUUCAAGUCCACAUGGACUAGUGCAGUACACAGGGAAAAGGGUUUGAUUUGGACCAGGCCUUUAGAAUCAUUAUCUCAUGUGCAGCCAGUAGAUCCAAAAGGAAGGCAGAAACAACCAUCAUUACAUUUCACUUCACAACUUCCUGCUACUUACGAUUUAACACUGACAGCACUCAUUAAAGGUUUUGUUAGCUUAAAACUUUGAUUCACCUCUUACUCCCCCUCUCCUCUUUCUUCCAUUCUCUCUGCCUUAUCCACCCCCAGGACUGCAACUAAAGCAGAAUAACUAACGACAGAGAAUGAUAGAUGAGAGGAGUUUAGAUUAAAAUUGUAAAUGAUUGAUGGAGAGAGAGAGAGAAAGACAGAUAGAUAAAGAGAGAGACAGAAAGAUACAGAGAGAGAAAGAGAGAGACAGACAGAUACAGAGAGAGAAACAGAUACAGAGAGAGACAGACAGAUAGAGAAAGCGAGAGACAGACAGAUAGAGAAAGAGAGAGACAGACAGAUACAGAGAGAGAAACAGAUACAGAGAGAGAAACAGAUACAGAGAGAGACAGAUACAGAGAGAGACAGAAAGAUACAGAGAGAGACAGAUACAGAGAGAGAAAGAGAUACAGAGAGAGACAGAUACAGAGAGAGACAGAUACAGAGAGAGACAGAAAGAUACAGAGAGAGACAGAUACAGAGAGAGAAAGAGAUACAGAGAGAGACAGAUACAGAGAGAAACAGAUACAGAGAGAGACAGAUACAGAGAGAGAAAGAGAUACAGAGAGAGAAAGAGAUACAGAGAGAGACAGAUACAGAGAGAAACAGAUACAGAGAGAGACAGACAGAUAGAGAAAGCGAGAGAGAGAGAGAGAGAGAGACAGAUACAGAGAGAGAAGAGAGAGACAGACAGAUACAGAGAGAGAAGAGAGAGACAGAUACAGAGAGAGAAGAGAGAGACAGACAGAUACAGAGAGAGAGAGAGACAGACAGAUACAGAGAGAGAGAGAGACAGACAGAUACAGAGAGAGAAGAGAGACAGACAGAUACAGAGAGAGAGAGAGACAGACAUACAGAGAGAGAGAGAGACAGACAGAUACAGAGAGAGAAGAGAGAGACAGACAGAUACAGAGAGAGAGAGAGAGACAGACAUAUACAGAGAGAGAGAGACAGACAGAUACAGAGAGAGAAGAGAGAGACAGACAGAUACAGAGAGAGAGAGAGACAGACAUAUACAGAGAGAGAAAGAGAGAGACAGACAGAUACAGAGAGAGAAAGAGAGAGACAGACAGAUACAGAGAGAGAAAGAGAGAGACAGACAGAUAGAGAGAGAGAAAGAGAGACAGACAGAUACAGAGAGAGAAAGAGAGAGACAGACAGAUACAGAGAGAGAAAGAGAGAGACAGACAGAUAGAGAGAGAGAAAGAGAGACAGACAGAUACAGAGAGAGAAAGAGAGAGACAGACAGAUAGAGAGAGAGAAAGAGAGAGACAGACAGAUACAGAGAGAGAAAGAGAGAGACAGACAGAUAGAGAGAGAGAAAGAGAGACAGACAGAUACAGAGAGAGAAAGAGAGAGACAGACAGAUACAGAGAGAGAGAGAGAGAGAGACAGAUACAGAGAGAGAAGAGAGAGACAGACAGAUACAGAGAGAGAAAGAGAGAGACAGGCAGAUAGAGAGAGAGAGAAAGAGAGAGACAGACAGAUACAGAGAGCGAAAGAGAGAAACAGACAGAUACAGAGAGAUAAAUAGAAAUAGAGAGACACAGAGACAGAGAGAGAAAGAGAGAGACAGGCAGAUAGAGAGAGAGAAAGAGAGAGAGAGAGCUACAGAGAGAGAAAGAGAGAGACAGGCAGAUAGAGAGAGAGAAAGAGAGAGAGAGAGCUACAGAGAGAGAAAGAGAGAGACAGGCAGA
Long non-coding RNA from Oncorhynchus tshawytscha (Chinook salmon), 2256 nucleotides. The record is from Ensembl. NCBI's taxonomy places the organism in Eukaryota, Metazoa, Chordata, Actinopteri, Salmoniformes, Salmonidae.